Molecule: ribosomal RNA, 301 nt
Filed under: uncultured bacterium
Lineage: Bacteria
Description: partial 16S ribosomal RNA
Rfam family: Bacterial small subunit ribosomal RNA
Source: RNAcentral
CAGUAGCCACGGUAAGACAGAGGAUGCAAGCGUUAUCCGGAAUGAUUGGGCGUAAAGCGUGCGCAGGCGGUUAUAUAAGUCAGAUGUGAAAUCCCCGGGCUCAACCUGGGAACUGCAUUUGAGACUGUAUGGCUAGAGAGUGUCAGAGGGGGGUAGAAUUCCACGUGUAGCAGUGAAAUGCGUAGAUAUGUGGAGGAAUACCGAUGGCGAAGGCAGCCCCCUGGGAUAACACUGACGCUCAUGCACGAAAGCGUGGGGAGCAAACAGGAUUAGAUACCCCCGUAGUCCCUGUCUCUUAUAC